UGGCGGACGGGUGAGUAACGCGUGGAUAACCUGCCGUAUACAGGGGGAUAACACCUGGAAACAGGUGCUAAUACCGCAUAAGCGCACGGUCCCGCAUGGGACAGUGUGAAAAGCUCCGGCGGUAUACGAUGGAUCCGCGUCUGAUUAGCCAGUUGGCGGGGUAACGGCCCACCAAGGCGACGAUCAGUAGCCGGCCUGAGAGGGCGGACGGCCACAUUGGGACUGAGACACGGCCCAGACUCCUACGGAAGGCAGCAG
RNAcentral lists this ribosomal RNA (258 nucleotides) under uncultured bacterium. RNAcentral's name for it is "partial 16S ribosomal RNA". It matches the Rfam family "Bacterial small subunit ribosomal RNA", at positions 96 to 354 of the family's 1533-position model. The record is from RNAcentral.